AACGAACGCUGGCGGCAUGCCUAAUACAUGCAAGUCGAACGAGAAAGUCCGCAAGGAUGAGUAGAGUGGCGCACGGGUGAGUAACACGUAGGUGACCUGCCUUGUAGUUGGGGAUAACAGAGAGAAGUCUCUGCUAAUACCGGAUAAGAUGAGCAACUUUGGAAAGAGCUCAUGAAAGAUGGCCUCUUCACAAUGCUAUUGCUACAAGAAGGGCCUGCGGGCCAUUAGCUAGUUGGUGGGGUAAUGGCCUACCAAGGCGAUGAUGGCUAGCUGGUCUAAGAGGAUGAUCAGCCACACUGGAACUGAGACACGGUCCAGACUCCUACGGGAGGCAGCAGUAGGGAAUAUUGCGCAAUGGGGGCAACCCUGACGCAGCAAUGCCGCGUGAGUGAGGAAGGCCUUCGGGUUGUAAAGCUCUGUCCUUGGGGAAAAACGGUCUGUGAACUAAUAAUUCAUAGGAGUGAUGGUACCCGAGAAGAAAGCACCGGCUAACUUCGUGCCAGCAGCCGCCGUAA
Molecule: ribosomal RNA, 515 nt
Filed under: uncultured bacterium
Lineage: Bacteria
Description: partial 16S ribosomal RNA
Rfam family: Bacterial small subunit ribosomal RNA
Source: RNAcentral